RNAcentral lists this ribosomal RNA (602 nucleotides) under Xerophorus dominicanus. Its description in RNAcentral is "partial large subunit ribosomal RNA". It matches the Rfam family "Eukaryotic large subunit ribosomal RNA", at positions 79 to 662 of the family's 3401-position model. The record is from RNAcentral. Lineage: Eukaryota; Fungi; Basidiomycota; Agaricomycetes; Agaricales; Callistosporiaceae.
CCUAGUAACUGCGAGUGAAGCGGGAAAAGCUCAAAUUUAAAAUCUGGCGGUCCCUUGGCUGUCCGAGUUGUAAUCUAGAGAAGUGCUAUCCGCGCUGGACCGUGUACAAGUCUCCUGGAAUGGAGCGUCAUAGAGGGUGAGAAUCCCGUCUCUGACACGGACUGCCAGGGCUUUUGUGAUGCGCUCUCGAAGAGUCGAGUUGUUUGGGAAUGCAGCUCUAAAUGGGUGGUAAAUUCCAUCUAAAGCUAAAUAUUGGCGAGAGACCGAUAGCGAACAAGUACCGUGAGGGAAAGAUGAAAAGAACUUUGGAAAGAGAGUUAAACAGUACGUGAAAUUGUUGAAAGGGAAACGCUUGAAGUCAGUCGCGUUGACCGGGAAUCAACCUUGCUUCUGCUUGGUGCACUUUCCGGUUGACGGGUCAGCAUCAAUUUUGACCGGUGGAAAAAGGUGGAGGGAAUGUGGCAUCCUUGGAUGUGUUAUAGCCCUUGAUCGUAUGCAUCGGUUGGGAUUGAGGAACUCAGCACGCCGCAAGGCCGGGUUUUUAACCACGUUCGUGCUUAGGAUGCUGGCAUAAUGGCUUUAAUCGACCCGUCUUGAAACAC